Long non-coding RNA from Nicotiana attenuata, 532 nucleotides. RefSeq lists it as uncharacterized. NCBI's taxonomy places the organism in Eukaryota, Viridiplantae, Streptophyta, Magnoliopsida, Solanales, Solanaceae. The transcript has 2 exons. The record is from RefSeq and is a predicted model, not a curated record.
UCCUCGAAUAGCAAUUAUAUGCUCACAAAAAAACUUUCAUAAAUCAUAAAGAGCUAUUCUUAGUAUGGCGUUGCUUAGGUUUGCUUUCGUUCUAACCGUUCUUCUCAUGACAACCACUAUCAAUGUGUCGUGGUUCUCAGAGACGCAUGUACUGGCUUCACGGGAUAUUGAUCGCGAUCUCUUGGGACUUGAGAAGAGGCUACUCUCACCAUUUAAACUUAUGACUUGUGGGAGAGAUUGUGUUUACAAUGAUUGUAAAGAUGAUUGUUGGGUUUGCUGUAGAUGUGUUAGAUCUGGUUGUGUGUUAUAAUGCAAAUUAUGCAUUAGUGUCCAAUUUCAACCAACCCUACAACCUCAUAUUAUGUAUUUACCUUUUCUCGUGUAAUUUGUGUGUUUUCCUCAUCUUUUCUUGCUUUGUACAAAAAUAAUAAUUAAACUUUCUAGUUUUAUUUGUACUCAAAGUUGAACAGUGUUGGUUGAAGAUUGAACUAGAGGUUUGGUGGCAAUAAAAAAGUAAAAACUUUAUUGUGUA